AAGUAAAAUUAAUUAUUUUGGAAAAAAAGAUUUAAUGCUAAUGGCAUUAGAUUGUAAAUAAGUGUAAGUCCAUGAUUUAUUUGCUAAAAUGGCUGCAAAAAUGUAUAUAUAGAUUUA
RNAcentral lists this small RNA (117 nucleotides) under Arabidopsis thaliana (thale cress). Its description in RNAcentral is "ATSL192070". Lineage: Eukaryota; Viridiplantae; Streptophyta; Magnoliopsida; Brassicales; Brassicaceae. The record is from RNAcentral.